This 497-nucleotide ribosomal RNA is filed under the name uncultured bacterium. RNAcentral describes it as "partial 16S ribosomal RNA". It matches the Rfam family "Bacterial small subunit ribosomal RNA", at positions 28 to 507 of the family's 1533-position model. The record is from RNAcentral.
GAUGAACGCUGGCGGCGUGCCUAAUACAUGCAAGUCGAGCGAACGGACGAGAAGCUUGCUUCUCUAAUGUUAGCGGCGGACGGGUGAGUAACACGUGGAUAACCUACCUAUAAGACUGGGAUAACUUCGGGAAACCGUAGCUAAUACCGGAUAAUAUUUUGAACCGCAUGGUUCAAAAGUGAAAGACGGUCUUGCUGUCACUUAUAGAUGGAUCCGCGCUGCAUUAGCUAGUUGGUAAGGUAACGGCUUACCAAGGCAACGAUGCAUAGCCGACCUGAGAGGGUGAUCGGCCACACUGGAACUGAGACACGGUCCAGACUCCUACGGGAGGCAGCAGUAGGGAAUCUUCCGCAAUGGGCGAAAGCCUGACGGAGCAACGCCGCGUGAGUGAUGAAGGUCUUCGGGUCGUAAAACUCUGUUAUUAGGGAAGAACAUAUGUGUAAGUAACUGUGCACAUCUUGACGGUACCUAAUCAGAAAGCCACGGCUAACUACGUG